RNAcentral lists this transfer RNA (72 nucleotides) under Camelus bactrianus (Bactrian camel). It matches the Rfam family "tRNA". From Rfam's summary of the family: Transfer RNA (tRNA) molecules are approximately 80 nucleotides in length. The record is from Rfam by way of RNAcentral. Lineage: Eukaryota; Metazoa; Chordata; Mammalia; Artiodactyla; Camelidae. RNAcentral also lists the same sequence under 2 other names.
GAGGAUAUAGCUCAAUGGUAGAGCGCAUGCUUUAUAUGCACGAAGUCCUAGGUUCAAUUCCCAGCACUUCCA